AAUGAACGCUGGCGGCAGGCCUAACACAUGCAAGUCGAACGAGGGGCGGACGGGUGAGUAAUGUAUGGGGAACUGCCUGAUGGAGGGGGAUAACUACUGGAAACGGUAGCUAAUACCGCAUACCAUCGGAUGUACCCAGAUGGGAUUAGCUAGUAGGGGGGGUAAAGGCUCACCUAGGCGACGAUCACUAGCUGGGCUUCGAGGAUGACCAGCAACACUGGAAUUGAGACACGGCCCAGACCCCUACGGGAGGCAGCAGUGGGGAAUAUUGCACAAUGGGGGCAAGCCUGAUGCAGCCAUGCCGCGUGGAUGAAGAAGGCCUUCGGGUUGUAAAGUACUUUCAGCGGGGAGGCGUUACCCGCAGAAGAAGCACCGGCUAACUCCGUGCCAGCAGCCGCGGUAAUAC
This 406-nucleotide ribosomal RNA is filed under the name uncultured bacterium. Its description in RNAcentral is "partial 16S ribosomal RNA". It matches the Rfam family "Bacterial small subunit ribosomal RNA", at positions 29 to 526 of the family's 1533-position model. The record is from RNAcentral.